RNAcentral lists this ribosomal RNA (398 nucleotides) under uncultured bacterium. RNAcentral describes it as "bacterial SSU rRNA". It matches the Rfam family "Bacterial small subunit ribosomal RNA", at positions 358 to 772 of the family's 1533-position model. The record is from RNAcentral.
GGAAUCUUGCGCAAUGGACGAAAGUCUGACGCAGCAAUACCGCGUGCACGAUGAAGGCCUUCGGGUCGUAAAGUGCUUUUCCAUGGGAAGAGAAAGGACUGUACCAUGGGAAUAAGGAUCGGCUAACUACGUGCCAGCAGACGCGGUAACACGUAGGAUCCAAACGUUAUCCGGAUUUACUGGGCGUAAAGCGCGUGCAGGUGGUUUGGUAAGUUGGGUGUUAAAGCUCCGGGCUCAACCUGGAGAGGUCGCUCAAAACUACCAGACUAGAGGACAGUAGAGGGAGGUGGAAUUCCGGGUGUAGUAGUGAAAUGCGUAGAUAUCCGGAGGAACACCAGUGGCGAAGGCGGCCUCCUGGGCUGUUCCUGACACUCAGACGCGAAAGCUAGGGGAGCGAA